This 139-nucleotide small RNA is filed under the name Pseudomonas sp. M47T1. RNAcentral's name for it is "Pseudomonas sRNA P14". The stretch from base 31 to 139 matches the Rfam family "Pseudomonas sRNA P14", at positions 35 to 146 of the family's 146-position model. The record is from Rfam by way of RNAcentral. Lineage: Bacteria; Pseudomonadati; Pseudomonadota; Gammaproteobacteria; Pseudomonadales; Pseudomonadaceae.
CUGGACGCAGGCUGCGGGAUGGCAUCGCCGCUACAGUUGAUGCAGUGACGAGAUUUUUUUUGCUUCUUGCGUUAGGUCAUUUUACUUACUACAAGUAAUGGGUACUAUGUACGCCGGCUAUUUUCUCACUCACGAGAGA